UGCAACCGACUUCAUCAACUCAUCCACAAUGUCAACACAAACAACUUGUGCCACCUCUACUGCCAUUAAUUUAGUCCCUCUUGAGUUAGUUGCAAUAAACAAACACAAGAUCCCAAAGCAAUACACAAAAAAGAUAAACUUCUGCCUAGAACAGUAGAACCAAUAUCACAUUAAAAAAAUAAUCAAUCUCACAUUCAGUCCCCAUAACCAACACAAUUGCCAAGUACUUAGUCUCAGAACCACACUUCUUGAGCUUUACCUGCGUAUGGGGCUCCACAGAGUGUGCAUCGACAACGAGAAAUUCAGCUCCAUGUGAACGCAAAGCACCUGCACCGUCGAAUCCAUCGCCGGCACCACGCGCGCCACGCUCUCCCAACUCGGCACCAUCAGUGUUGUCUCCGAUUCACCUCCUUGGCGUCGCCGUUCUGCUCUGACAUGUGUCGCGAGCUCCCCACUCCGGCGAGGCCGUGAUGUUGGCCAACUCGGUCUUCCUCGUACUGCCACGACCGCGGUGGGAGGGUUGGGAUGUGCCGGCGUUGGCGAGAGCCACCGACGAGAGGAGCAGGGCGUCUCCGACGAGAGGCACCGGAAUUGGUUUGGGUUAAAACUAGAAGUGUUAGUGGUCACGGAGAAGGAAGGAAAUUAGAGAGAGGGAGAGAGGGAGGGGAUCUAGAUCGGAAAGGGGAAGAUUAGAGAAAAGUGAUGUUGAGGGAGGGUAUUUUAGACAACAAAAAUUUUGUUAGUGGGAAUAACAACUUAACAGUGUAUAGGGUUGAUAGGAAUUUAGAAUUAGAUUUUGUUAGUGGGAAAAAAAUCUUUUAAUUUAGGGGUAGUGGGCAUUUUUCCUAGACUAUAUAUGAUUGAGAUUUAAUUUUGACCAAUUAAUAUCGGCACCGCCAAUUUAGCUGUUAAUUUCAGGGAGCCCUUCUAGUGAGGAUUUGGUGAUGACUUUUCGGUUUGUGGUUUAAAAGACUCAAUUUUCGAUCACAUUUUGACAUCUUAUCCGUUCAGUUUUUAGGUUUAUAUAAGUAAAUCAUUUUUACAAAUUUUCACCUAAAUUGGUGUUCGUUAAGAUAACAAACUAGAUCAAAUUAAUGGAUGAACCAAAUCUGUCAAAUAUGAACCUUUCAAGUUCAUAAUUGAUAAAUCACACUUAUGAAUGUCUUAACAAUUUUCAAUAUAACUGAAAAUUUGAAUGUCUUAACAAUUUUCAAUAUAACUGAAAAUUUGAAGAAAUGAUCUACUCAUAAAUACCUAUAAAUUGAACGGUCAAGAUGUAGAUAUAAGAUCGAAAGAUGGGAUAAGCGGAAAAGUCUUCAUCAAGUCCUCACUAGAAGGGCUCCCGUUAAUUUCAAUUCUCAGCCUUCAACUUAGUUUUUUUUAGGCAGUGAAAUUUGCACUCUCUAUUUUACAAUUUAUACUCAUUUUUUUAUUUUUUUAGUCAAAUUUUUUACAAAAAGACAAAACACAUGUGUGAGUAAAGACAAAUUUAAAUUUACUAUAUAAAAAAAGGAGUGUGGAUUGUAAAUAUGAGAGCUAGCUGAUGACAACCGUUAUUACUUAUUAAAAAAUAACAAACUCAUUAACAGUUAUAUCAUAAAUAAAACAAAACGUUACAUAAUUGAAAUACAUAAAAGAUUCUAAAUCGAGGGCCACCAAGAUGGCUUGAUUAAAAGCUGGAGCAGAAAAAGAAUAAGUAAUCUAUAACAGAUCACUGAUAAUGUUAUCAUGCACACUACAUUAAAGAGUAUGUGGAAUGACGCAUGUUUAAAAGUACUGAAAUCUAUAAAAUAAAAGCGAAAAUGAACUAAAAGUAAAAUUAAAAUUCAAAAAAUUCCAAAACAGCUUGAAGAAGGUUGGACUGGAUCCAAACCCGGCCCAGAUUCAAAAGCCGAGCCUCAACCGAGGCUUGAUCCCCACUUCUGUUCAGAGCACCCCAAACAUAAGGCUUCUCGAUCGCCUUCCACCGCUGCACACCCGUCACCGGUGUUAUUUUCUAGCCCCAACCCGCCACAUGAUCCCUUUUGGCCCAGACCCAAUCCGCUAAAUGCGGCCCCUCCAACCUAUAAUCAAGCAAUAAUCGUCGCCAGUAGAAUACCUCCAAACCCAAUUGCGCCUCGGAGAACACACAUCAACGCAUAAACACCUAUUUUAGUUCCUAAGAAUGCUUGGCCCUUUCAAUCGGCCCCACCUUUACAGAUGUUGUAAAGUUGGACGAUGUCCCUAAUACGAAACCCCCAUAUUUAGAGUUCAAGUCCCAACUAUGUACCACCAGUUUGUAGACAAUAAGUUUGAGGGACCUUUGGUAUUGUGCGCCUACGGCGAGAGAUUAAUAUGUUUGCUAGGAUACUCUCGUAGACCACAAUCUGAAUAAUGACUAUCGUAACCGAGAUGACUUGCUACUUCACUCUCAUUUAAAAAUAAAUAAAUAAAUAAAUAUAUAAAUAAAAUAUAAUAAAAAAACCCACUGUCGAAUAAAAAAAAACAACAACAACAAUUUCACAUCACUUGUAAUUAGUAGUCCUCUUGGGCUUCAUUUACUGGGCCACUUUGUAUAAUAGUGGGUCUGUUCCGUCGUUUGAGAAGUACUAACUUUUUUUUUUUUUUUUUUUUUUUAGUCUAAAACAGAUUGACCGUAGAGGCGUAGAGCGAGAGCAACAAAAGUUGCCGGCCGCCGUGAACACGAACCCAGAUUUUUAAAUUCUGGAGAGACAACAAGCCGAUGCCAAAAUUCCCAUCUUGGAGCCCAUUUCUUCAACAAGCGGAUCAAAAAAAUUGGGAAGAAAAGGAAGUAGCUAACAACAACUGGGACUAACUAGUCAGGUGAGUCCACUAACUGACCCUAUAUUUUUUUUCUUCUUUCUUCUUUCAGUAAACUCCUCUGAGUAUAAUAAGCAUUAAGCAUGUAGGAAUCCCAAACAUCAUAAGUAUCUAAGUUUGAGAUUUUGUUAGGGGAACAUGUUAUGUUUAUUUGCCCUUAUGAAAAUAGAUUGGUUCCGUUGGUAUGAUCGUGGUUGUGAAAGAGUCCCAAUCAAUCGAAGUUCGAUCCUCACCGCUAACAAUUAUGUUGUCGGUGGAGCGAUUUGUAAAUCCCAUGCCUAGCCUAAAUCAAUAAUUGGAUGCUGUGUAAAUAAGUACGUGUCAGUGUCAUUUAUGAUCGAAGUUGUAGGUUUUUCCUGAUGCGGAUGUGUGUGAUAAGCCUUCUUUUGGUCCAUACUUUUUCUUAACAAACAAGAAAAAGACCAUUUAUUUGCCCUUUGCACCAUUUUUAUGUGUGAAUGAGCGGUGAAGGAAAUCAUUUGGAGAGUUUGCUGGGGGAGUUCUUAUGACUGAUUUUUUUUGCCCCAUUUGUGGAAGAACACAUCAAGCUCAUUGUACAAACUACUCUAGAGUCUAGAUGAAAAGCACUAUUCAUUGGUGACCCAGCAAUAUUAUGUCCAGGAUAUCAAUUGGGACAUUAUUGCAAUAUGGCCAAUGAAUGUUUCUGCAGUUGAGUGUCUCCUUGAUAAUUGAUCCAUGCAUACUGCAGAACCACCAAAUUCAUUGGUUCAAACAUUUAAAGCUUGAACAAUACAACUUUAUUGAGACUACCAAACAUCAAUCUUACAAGCCAAUUAACAGCAAAUUAAGAUAAGAGAACAUUAUUCUCAUGCCAAAUUACAUCUGGCUUUUCCUUAGUAGCACUUGAUUCACUAAAGUGUCCAAGUUUCUGGAUGAAGUGCCAUGGGGAGCAGUGGCUUCUUGAGCAAGUUCUUUCCAAUUCAAGGCCUUGUUUUUCAUUUUCUUGCCCUUCUCUCCCUCCAUUAACUCUUUCACAAGCUUCUCUACUUCGUCUCUCUUGACAUCGUUACUGAUCUCCAUGCCAACACCCCAUUCCUUGCAACUGAAGUGACAAUCUGUUUGCUGGUCACCAAAGAAUGGCCAACACAACAUAGGCACUCCGGCCGUCAAACUCUCAAUGGUUGAGUUCCAGCCACUGUGUGUUAGAAACCCUCCAACGGAUGGAUGGUUGAGUACUUGCUCUUGUGGGCACCAAUGUGCUAGCAGCCCUCUAUCUUUGAUCUCAGCUACAAAUUCAGGUGGCAAAAUUGCCGACUCGCCAACAACCAGAUCAGGUCUUAUCACCCAGAAGAAAGGAAACUUGCUGUUUGCAAGUCCCCAACCAAACUCUACUAGCUGUUUUGGUGUCAAGACCGCUACGCUACCAAAAUUCACAUAAAUCACUGAAUUUGGUGCCCUGUUCUUCAGCCAUUCAAGGCACUCAGGUUCUUCUUUCCAUAGACUGUAACCCAUAGAAGUCAGAGGGUUUUGCGGUAUCUGAUUCAGAAGUAAUUGGAUAGGUCCAAUGGCAUAAACAAGUGGAAGCCUAGAUGAGAGAGCAUCCAAAACAUUUUGUUCCAAUGCAUCAAAUGUAUGGAGAACAAUAGCUGAAGCCUUCUGAAUUCUUGGGCCUGUUGCUUCGAUGAAGUAGUUAAAAAUGAUGUCGUCGGGAUUUGUUGUUCGAAAGAAGGAUGGUAGAUCCCUUAAACGAAUAUCUUUCAUUCCUGGAAUCCAGUCUAUUACCGUGUCUAAAAACCCAUUGGUGAAGCAGCUCUCAUCUACAACACCCAAUAUAAUGAAUUUAAAAUAAACACCAUGUUAAAAUCUGAGAGUCUGCAAUAGGAAAGUUAGUUUGGUACCUUUAAGUGGUGCAAGUCCUUUGUCGAUCAAACUGGGAUAUUGUGUAAACCCCAUCAAGCUGCAAGCAGCAAUGGUGUAGAACAAUGCUACUGGAACUCCAAAUUCUUCAGCAGCUGUGAUGGUGAAUGUCGACAUAAAACCAUCUGAAACUAUACAACUCACAGGAGGAUUAGUACUAUUGUUCAGUUUCAUAAUAAGGGCACAAAAAGUAGCUAGGAAAUUUUUGUUGAUACAGUCACAAAGCAAAGCGACAUCUUGGGUGGCAUCUUCAUCCGAUUCUGGAAGCCCAUCUGGAAUGGCUUCGAACCGAAAAUCAGGCAAGCCGUCAAGGGAGUUGGGUCCUAGAGACUUAAGAAAUCGCUUGUGAUUGAACUCUGUGUUGACAAAGGUAAUGUGAAAGCCUCUAUGAUGGAGGAUUUUCGCUAGUUUAAGCAUUGCCUUUAUAUGGCUUUGAGCUGGAACUGGAAUAAACACAGCAUGAGGCUUAAUACUGUCCAUCUUAGUAUGGAUGUGAGUGUGGCAACUGGAGGAGAAAACGCAGAUUAUAUAGGCACCACUGUAGUCAUGUGUUUGGAAUUAAGCCAGAACAGGUUAGUAGCCAAUUAAGUACAUCUAUCAUAUAACCUUACUAGUGAUUUUGCAAAAUCUUUGGUAGGUCCUGAGUAUGAUUUUCAUACCUAAGUAAUUAUCUGAAUAUUUAUAUAUAUGUAUAUAAAAUCUUGGCAUCUUGGAAUAAAUGAGGAUCGAUAUCAUUGAACUGGUCGGCAUACAUGGUUUUAUAAUACCCAUGCUUAACCAUAUAUGCAUAUAAUCUAAUUCACUAAACCAUGUGAGUCACGCAAGUUCUUCGAUCAAGUUCCUGAAUUAGUACUGCUAUUGCAUUGAUAGAUUAAUCCUUGCGUGAAAGCCCUUGUGAGUUAUACAGUAUCAGACAGGCGAAGCAGCAGGGGGCAUAUUAUUAGAAGUUGAGAACCCAUGUAACUUAGAUUUCGUGUUAUGUACAUGUUAAAAAAUGCAGAUUGAUAAUAGUGCAGCCAGAGAGAUAUGGAUCAUGAAGAAUUGUGAUAUAUAUUUUUUGAUCGAGGCAUCUAGCACAGCAGGAAGUACAAUAACGAGGAGAUAUGGUCAAGAAAACAAGCUUGGCAGUACUCAAAAGACUAUGUUCUUUUGCUGUGGAACAAAAAUGGACUUCUAUCUGUUAUACAUGACAUACAGGACUUCUUCUUAGCUUUUAUGUUUACCUCGAUAUUUCGUAAUACAGUAAUUUCUAAUUGUAAGGCACAAACCAAUCUCCGCGGCUGUUUUUAGAUCGUUCAGUUUCAUUUACCACUUCAAUAUAAGAAUAUCCCACUUAUAAGUUCUAACACACCAAAACUUGAAUGGAUAGUAAUUCCUCUUUUAUUUCUUGGUUCAUAUUCACAAGGAAUUAAAACUAAGCAAGAGUUUGAAAGUUAUAUAUGAGCUUUGCCGGUUAAACUCCUAUGUCGUCACUGUAGGUUUAUUGAUGACAAUCAAGGAUUUGUGCUGGGGAACGAUGGAUCUUGGAUGAAAUAAUUUACACUCGGUAAUUUAUUUGUCACCCUUUGGGAUAACAAAUGUCAUUUUAGAAACUUCCAGUCUCAGUUUAAUGCUUUAUGUCUGCAUAGACCUUGACAAGCACUCAGCAGUUCAGUUCAAAUUCCACUUUUGCUUAAGUUGGUUUUGGAUAUCUCUCUCUUGCUAGAUAAUUAAUGAAAAAGUCAUUGACAUCUGAAUUUAUGCAGGUUUAUCAACAGUGCUUGCAAAUUUUGUACUGCUGUGUGAUCUGGUAUCAAAAGCUGCGAAGAGGGUCUGAAUAUCAUUCAUUUGAUAUUGUAAUUUUGCUGUAAUUAUUAGAUAUGAAAUCACCACUUGUCAACAAAUACAGUGUCCUGAACACUAGAAGAUCUGCAUCAAGUAUAUGCUGAUUUGUUAUACUACUGAGGAGAUAAAAUUCUAAAUUCCUUGUGGCUAUGGAACUGUGUCAAACCGAAUGAAUGUUUGGUAUGAUUGAAUGCAGUAAAUGAUUCAACCAAAAUUUAUUCAAAAACUGAUUCAACCAAAACAUCUUCAUUGCUUCCGAUUUAGAGGAACAAAACGGGAUAGAACUCUUCCUAUAAAUGCAUGCAACUUGAGUUUGUGAACCUAUCUUGAGACUCUUAACUCUUAACAGAGCAGCCGAGACCCUUAUAUUUAUAUUGUGAACCUAUCAGAGCAGCUGAUUCUAAAGCCUCGUUUGGUCAAGCACUAGCCAAUUUCGAAACAAACCUAUGAAAUUAAUGAAAUAAACUGAAUUUCAAGUUUCACAACAGUCAAGACUCAAUUUUGAAAUGGCUAGAAUUAGAGCCAAGCAGAGUGAGCGAGCAUGGGUUAGAUUACCUUGUGUUUUUAGUGAAAAUAGUUUUACGUAUUGUGGCACAUCUAAUAGAUCCAUUUAAAGAUACUUCGAUAAAUACAGUGUUGGACGAAUAUUUAAUAUUGACCUCCAUACUGUAGAGAGUCAGGGUCUUGACCAUUUUCCAAUUAGGAUCACUAUGACUUCGCUGGCAAUUAUUUGUUAAAGCUUCUUCCUUCAGAUCGUAACUUUCCAUCAGCAUGUCAACAUUAUCUUGAAAGGUGUCAGUGUCCCAAAGGCUCUCUCGAACAAGAAACCUCACUGCGCUUGUUGCUUGAAACGAAGUAGCCAUAACAAAAAUACAUGUUUCCUAUUCAUUUACAGGACAAUUUAAAAAAAAAUUAAACUUGUACAACAAACAAAAUUAAGUACUACAACAACAACAACAAACACUUACAAAAUAAAAUACGUAGCAGUACCACUUGUUUUGGAGAUCCUGCAUAUAAUGUGAAAGAUUAGAAUGACUGCAAUGAUGAAGUGAGUAUGAAAUUCAAGCAGAAAGUGAAUCCAUAACAAUAUUUGCAUAAGAAUUUUACUCACAUAUAUUUUUUGAAAUUUGUCGAUGAAAACAUCAUACUUGCUUGAAAAUUCAACCUACACACAAUAGGUAAUAUUAGCAGAAGCAGAAGAAUUAUCAGCUCUUGCAUAACACCACAUCUAGAACUGUUCUAACAAAGGAGAUACGAAAAUCAAAAGGUCCCUUGUAACACUACUCGGAGAAACUUUGAAUAACACAAAUCAAACAACUUUAACCUACUUUAAAAUAAAAGAAAAUUUUUGCAUACCUCUUUCAUCCCUUCUGGUUUCUGUAUUAUUAUCGUAUCACAAUAGAUUUGUCCGAGCAAUAUUGGUUUAACCUGCAAUUGAGAGGUUGUGGACUUGAAUGAGAAAAUUAAAUCAAAAUAGCACAAGAUUGUUCAAUAAGAAAAACUAUCAGUUGAUUAAGGUCCCUGGUGUGUUUAAGUUGAAAAGAAAAGUACUAAAUGUAUAUUCCUUCACUACUGAUCCUGCAACAAGUAUUGUUGCAAUAAAAGAGAGGGAACUACAUUGGCAGAUAAUGAACGAAGCAAAACCUGGCCAACUCGGCAAUUAAAUUAUUGUCAACAUAUAAAAUGGCUCAUUAGUUAUGUAAAGUAAGUAAACAAUGAGAAAAAAUGUGUUGUAUGUACCCAGUUUGGGUUCAGACCACAAGCGAGAGCAUCAAGAGCACGCCUAGCCCUUUCAGUGAUAUAUCCGUCUUCAGUAUUAGCUGUUUCCAGAAUCAAUUUGCGCUCAUCCUGCACAUAAUAAUAUAAUGAAACGAGUGAUUUCCAAGAAGAUGUUUCGCACUCCAAGUCAUUUGGGUUUUUUUUUUUUUUUUUGAAGAAAAAGUCAUUUGGGUUGUCAAUAAGAGUAUUAGUCACAAAAAAAAAACAAAAAAAAAAAAUUUAACCUCAUCCAUUGUGCAGAUUAGGCCAUGAGAAGCAAAGACGUGUUCCACCUCAUUCCACUUUUUGUUCAGAUCAUCUGCAAGAGAUCAUAACGGAGAACGCAAUUUAAAGACACUGAUUGUCUGAUAACAUAUGCUAUAACUCUUUCUAGUCAAUAUUCGGAUGCAGAUAUUUCCAAAAUUGAAGAAGAAACACAGUCGAUCUGACACUCAACCCUGCAUUAUUCAUUAUGUCAUACCCGGACUCGACCUGCAUAUUGUUCUAAGUAACACGUAUAUGGGUCUGUCUGUUCCCAAACUUUACAUAUAUUCACAAUAAAAAGCAAACAAAAAACAAAGAAAACACAGUUUUUUCGAUGAAACAAAGAAAACACAGUUAAGAGGAAGAACGAGAACAAGAGAUGGAGGAACGUACCAGAUAUAUUAUUUUUCGAGAAUACCACACGAUAAGUCGGCUUGUCCAUCCUUUCCAAUCGAAACCCUGAAUCGGCAUGCAAAUAAUUUAGGGAUAAUUUUUAAGGACAUGAUCAUGGACUUUACAAAGGCCCGUAACUAAUAAGCAAACAUAGACAGAGUGGCCCAAAAGUUCAGGCCCAUGUUUAGACAUUAGUGAUUUUAUCAGGGACAAAUAUGUAAAAAUCCUUUCAAAAAAUAAAAUGUAAAAAUAAAAUUUACAGUGUAAUUAAUGAUAAUUGAUUGCCAGCAAGGAACAAUACGUUGAAGUCAUCGUUGUUCUUUAUAUUGGUGAUCGACAUAAUAGGGAUUCACGGUAAUAUAUAGGCAUACAAAGUUCCCCAUAAAGGAAAGUUAUUAGCCCUAAUAAUUAUAGGAAAAUUAAUAUUCCUGUAUACAAAAAGGAGAAUCAUUCUGGAAUACACGGGAAGGGUAAAUAAGGCCCUUCAUAUAUAUCUACAGACGAACGUGUGGUUGACACACGUGUCUAAAGAAAUUGAGAUUAACCUGAUGUCGAUUUAAACUCUAGGCCGGUUGCCUCACAAACGAACCCAAAAACACAUGAUAAUUUGACGUGUAGAGAACGAAGAUUUCUUCAUCUUAGGUUUCACCGAAAAAUGUUGAAGACCGAUAAUUUCCAGGCUUUGAUCUCUAUCCUCGUACCAUGCAUGGACUAUCUAUGAACACAAGAGGAACCACCACAAUGAUACGCGUCGAACGUGACUGGUGCACCGUCAUAUCGUUGUAGAGUUUAUGCUCAGGUCGUCGGCAGGGAAACAGAUCGAGAGUUUUUAUUGUUUUUGAAGACUUAUGAAAUGAUGUUGUACAUGUAUAUACACACCGUGUAAUAAAACAGUCUCACUAAGUUAAUUAUCACCCUACUUUGAGCUUCAGUAGCCAUAUAUGCAAAUGUUUGUUUUACCAUAGUUAUCAUUAUUAUAUAUACCUGAAACUGAAUUGAAUAACAUCUAUACAUGCAUCAUGAUAUAUUUCACAACAAGCAUAAACACAACGCUGCAAAUUUCAAUAAAAAAAAAUAUAAAAAAAUUAAUAAUAAGAGUUUCCUAGGUACACUCGGAGAAUCUCAUAAGGACCAGGCAUGGCAGCAUCAAUAGGGAUUCCACUAUCGACAUCCUUCUCAUCAACACGUCAACACGUCAACACAAAUACUGCAAUACACAAAACACAGAAGCAGAGAAAAUCAUCUUUGCUAUGCUACUUCGAUCUAACACAAUGGGACUGCUCUCUCUUUAUGGAAAGGGUUAACACAAGAAAUUUCUACGGGUAUAUACUGAGGCCUAGAAACACGGAUGCAAAUUUGCUCUCCACCCUUACUUCCUCACCCUCAUUCCCACCCACCUAGUAUAAUGAUACAUGUCCCUUCUCUUUGUUGACUCUAACCAUAUGGUUAACAACACAAAUCUAUUAUAAUAAGGGUAAAAGUUAAUAAUGAUCCUCGUUGUUUGGAGUCAUAGUUAUGUUUGUCAAUGUGGUUUAAAAAUGAUUACUUUUGGUCCUCGUGUUUUAUAUAUCAAUUAAUCAUAAUCUAAUGAUAACAUUUUGUCUAACAUCGUUAGUAAGGUUCUCACGCCGAUAUUAUAUGAUGAGAUAAUUAUGUCUUAUACAUUCCUUAUCAAACAAAAAAUAAAAGUUAAAUAGAAGUAUAAGAAAAAUGAAAAAUCAAAUUACUAAG
RNAcentral lists this long non-coding RNA (10668 nucleotides) under Fragaria vesca (wild strawberry). Its description in RNAcentral is "long non-coding RNA (FVES_LNC003233)". The record is from RNAcentral. Lineage: Eukaryota; Viridiplantae; Streptophyta; Magnoliopsida; Rosales; Rosaceae.